Long non-coding RNA from Trachemys scripta elegans, 425 nucleotides. RefSeq lists it as uncharacterized. The transcript has 3 exons. The record is from RefSeq and is a predicted model, not a curated record. NCBI's taxonomy places the organism in Eukaryota, Metazoa, Chordata, Testudines, Emydidae.
CAGCACCCAGGGGCAGUGACAGCCUCCUCCCUGCCCGUGACCAGGUGAGACCUGGGACCUGCCCCCCCGAUCCAGUCCAAUGUGCCCACUCAGUAUCGGCCCAUUGCUCCAGUGACCCUGAGUGCCCGGGAGAGCAGAAGUGCUGCUAUAUCGCAUGCAGAUUCCGCUGCGUUGACCCAGCAGAAGAGAAGGCCGGGUAUUGCCCGGUCCUCAAGCCCGCAGGCCUGAACCUCAGUAAGAGCUGCCACCCCUGCCUGGUGAACAGAUCCUGCUCCACCUGUUUUCGGGAUGCGGAUUGCCCAGGCCCGGAGAAGUGCUGCCCAGGCCGGUGCGGAACCCGCUGCUGGGAGCCUGUCUCUGGUAAGAGAACAUAUGACCGGCCAUACAGGGUCAGCCCAGUGGUCCCGCUAGCCCCGUACCCUGUC